Molecule: RNA transcript, 2457 nt
Organism: Felis catus (domestic cat)
Lineage: Eukaryota; Metazoa; Chordata; Mammalia; Carnivora; Felidae
Gene: CWH43
Gene name: cell wall biogenesis 43 C-terminal homolog
Exons: 17
Source: RefSeq, a predicted model, not a curated record
CCGGAGGACGCGGCGGCGGGCGCGGGGCGUGCGCGGCGGGGCAGGCGCUCGCUGCUCGCUCGGAAAGCGCCGCUGCGCGUCGCGGCCAUGUCCUGGCUGUGGCGAGAAAUCCUCCUGGAGAGCCUCCUGGGGUAUGUUUCUUGGUCUCUCUGCCAUGGCCUGGGACCGAUGAUUUAUUACUUUCCCCUGCAAACUCUAGAACUCACUGGGCUUGAAGGUUUUGGCAUAGUGUUUCUUUCUCCAAUAUUCCUAACACUUACUCCUUUCUGGAAAUUGGCUAACAAGAAGUGGAUGCUAAUCCUGUUGCGGAUAAUUACUAUUGGCAGCAUCGCCUCCUUCCAGGCUCCAAAUGCCAGAGUUCGGCUAGUGGUCCUUGCCCUUGGAGUGUCUUCCUCGUUGAUAGUACAAGCCGUGACAUGGUGGACAGGAAGUGGCUUACAAAGGUACCUCAGAAUCUGGGGAUUCAUCUUAGGACAGAUUCUUCUUCUUGUUCUCCGCAUAUGGUACACUUCACUAAAUCCAAUCUGGAGUUAUCAGAUGUCCAACAGAGUGAUACUGACAUUAAGUACCAUAGCCACACUUGAUCGCAUUUACACAGAUGGCGAUUGCAGUAAGCCAGAGGGGAAAAAUACUGGAGUGGCAGUCAAGGGCGUGGCCUCCAGACCUACCUGGUGCCUGGCAGGGGCUGCCUUUGGCAGUCUCGUGUUCCUCACCCACUGGAUUUUUGGAGAGGUCUCGCUUGUUUCCAGAUGGGCCGUGAGUGGGCACCCCCAUCCAGGGCCAGAUCCUAACCCAUUUGGAGGUGCAGUUCUGCUGAGCUUGGCGAGCGGAUUGAUGCUCUCAGCUUGUUCAUGGUUUCCUGGUACCAGUUUACUCUGGUGGGUCACAGGAGCAGCUUCAGCUGCGGGCCUUCUUUACCUCCCCACGUGGGCAGCUGCCGUUUCUGGCUGUGUGCUUGCUGUCUUCACAGCGUCCAUGUGGCCUCAAGUGCUUGGACAUCUUAUUGGCUCAGGGUCAGGCCCUGGGAAAGCCAUGACCAUUGCCAUGGUAUUUUAUCUCCUGGAGAUCCUUUUCUGUGCAUGGUGCACGGCUUUUAAGUUUGUUCCAGGAGGUGUCUACGCUAGAGAAAGAUCUGAUUUGCUUUUGGGGACAGUGAUGCUAAUUAUUGGACUAAAUAUGCUAUUUAGUCCUAAGAAAAGCCUUGACUUUCUUCAAACAAAAAACAGUCCUAAAGUGCUUUUCAGAAAGAGUGAAAAAUAUAUGAAACUUUUUUUGUGGCUGCUUGUUGGUGCGGGGCUACUGGGAUUAGGACUACGGCAUAAAACCUAUGAGAGGAAAUUGGGCAAAGGGGGACCAGCCACAGAGGUCUCUGCUGCCAUCUGGCCUUUUCGGUUUGGCUAUGACAAUGAAGGAUGGUCCAAUCUAGAAGGAUCGGCUCAGCUGCUCAGUCAAACAGGUGCAGAUUUCAUAACAAUUUUGGAGAGUGAUGCUUCUAAGCCCUAUAUUGGGAACAAUGACUUAACCAUGUGGCUAGGGGAGAAGUUGGGUUUCUAUACUGACUUUGGCCCAAGCACAAGGGAUCACACGUGGGGGAUUAUGGUUUUGUCCCGAUACCCAAUUGUGAAGUCAGAGCACCACCUUCUUCCAUCACCAGAGGGCGAGAUCGCACCAGCUAUAACAAUGACUGUUAACAUCUCGGACAAACUGGUGGAUUUUGUCGUGACACACUUUGGGAAUCAUGAAGAUGACCUUGACAGGAAACUUCAGGCUAUUGCUGUUUCAAAACUACUGAAAAGCAGCUCUAAUCAAGUGAUAUUUCUGGGAUAUAUCACUUCAGCACCUGGUUCCAGGGAUUAUACACAGCUCAUUGAACACGGCAAUGUGAAGGAUAUUGACAGCACAGAUCGAGACAGAUGGUGUGAAUAUAUUAUGUAUCGAGGGCUGAUCAGGCAUUGUUCUAAGCAGGGAGGCUGUCACGGGAACCAAACAGAACCCUUGACUACCAUACAGCUUACAUUCCAGUGGAAGGAGACAGAAGAUUGGGCUAUGCAAGAAUCUCCCGUGCUGAACUGAGUGACUCUGAAAUUCAGAUGGCCAAAUUUAGGAUCCCUGAUGACCCCAUUAAUUAUAGAGACAAUCAGAAAGUAGUCACAGACCAGAGGGCAGUUCCUAAGGAAAUUCAUUUCAAUCCUAGAUUUGGAUCCUAUAAAGAAGGACACCAUUAUGAGAACGAUCACCAUUUUCAUAUGAGUACUCCCAAAUACUUUUUAUGACCUAUUUAAAACAGGAUUCAUUGACUGAGCGUCUGUGGAAAACAAAAGUAUAUAAGAAGAGAGAUGCAUGAAAAUGGGAAACUACACACAAAGAACCUCAGUUUUGAAAAAAUAUGGUAUUUAUGCAGUGGGAAAUUCUAUCAAUUUAUUUAAAUAUCUUACUAAAUAAAAGCAUUUCUCCAAA